UACGUAGGGUGCGAGCGUUAAUCGGAAUUACUGGGCGUAAAGCGUGCGCAGGCGGUUCGUUGUGUCGGCGGUGAAAGCCCCGGGCUUAACCUGGGAAUGGCCGUUGAAACUGGCGAACUGGAGUGUGGCAGAGGGGGGUGGAAUUCCGCGUGUAGCAGUGAAAUGCGUAGAGAUGCGGAGGAACACCGAUGGCGAAGGCAGCCUCCUGGGCCAACACUGACGCUCAUGCACGAAAGCGUGGGGAGCAAACAGG
RNAcentral lists this ribosomal RNA (253 nucleotides) under uncultured bacterium. RNAcentral describes it as "partial 16S ribosomal RNA". It matches the Rfam family "Bacterial small subunit ribosomal RNA", at positions 524 to 776 of the family's 1533-position model. The record is from RNAcentral.